GACUGUUUAGAGCCUCGGCUAAAUUUUUUCCAAUUAUUAUUUGGUGCGGUUUCUAUAAGGUUCCAACCUUAAACAAUCC
RNAcentral lists this transfer RNA (79 nucleotides) under Amborella trichopoda. RNAcentral's name for it is "tRNA AMTR_s00012t00277440". Lineage: Eukaryota; Viridiplantae; Streptophyta; Magnoliopsida; Amborellales; Amborellaceae. The record is from RNAcentral.